RNAcentral lists this ribosomal RNA (1359 nucleotides) under Triticum aestivum (bread wheat). RNAcentral describes it as "partial small subunit ribosomal RNA". The record is from RNAcentral. Lineage: Eukaryota; Viridiplantae; Streptophyta; Magnoliopsida; Poales; Poaceae.
AUGUCCACCAAUGAGAACCCACAAGCAGAGCAACAAGACAAUGUUGAUGCAGCAAUUAGUUUCGAAGCCAUGAGUGACUUUUUCUGGGACUUCAUGAAUAACCCAGUUGAAGCCCAGAUUGAAGCAGAAAUUCGAGCUCAGAUUGCAGCACAACAGAUAGGUACGUCCAAUGAACACAGAAGACUACCUAGAAGACACCUUGAUAGAGAUAGGCAAGGUGGUGAGGAUAGGCUGAUGGAUGAUUACUUCUCAGAAAAUCCAUUAUACACUGACAAGCAAUUUAGGCGUAGGUUUUGUAUGAGGAAGCAUUUAUUUUUACACAUUGUCCAAACUCUUGGCGAGUGGUCUCCAUUCUUUACUCAGAGGAGUGAUGCAUUUGGCAAGCCUGGCUUUUCUCCCUUGCAGAAAUGCACUGCUGCUAUGCGAGUGCUAGCAUUUGGGACACCUGCUGAUUUGUUUGAUGAUAACUUGAGAAUGGGUGAAACCACAAUCAUCAAGUGCAUGACCACAUUUUGCAAGGGUGUGAUGGAGAAGUUUGGUCCAGAAUAUCUUAGAAGGCCCACUAACGAAGACAUACAACGCUUACUUCAUGUAGGGGAGGCCCGUGGCUUUCCUGGCAUGUUGGGAAGUCUUGAUUGCAUGCACUGGACAUGGAGAAAUUGUCCAGUGGCUUGGAAGGGAAUGUUCACUCGUGGCGAUCAUGGAGUUUCCACAGUCAUGCUCGAAGCUGUAGCCUCACAUGACCUAUGGAUAUGGCAUGCAUUUUUUGGGGUUGCUGGAUCAAGUAAUGAUAUCAAUGUCCUAGACCAAUCAACUUUGUUUACUCAAGUGCUGCAAGGUACAGCUCCAAAGGUUCACUUUGAAGUCAACCACAAUGAGUAUAACUUGGGAUACUACUUAGUAGAUGGCAUUUAUCCGGAAUGGGCGACAUUUGUGAAAUCAAUCCCUAUGGCUCAAAGUGAGAAGCACAAGUUAUAUAAAGCACAUCAAGAAGGAGCAAGGAAAGAUGUAGAGCGGGCUUUUGGUGUUUUGCAAGCUCGUUUUGCUAUAGUUCGUCAUCCAGGGCGUAUGUUGCAAAGGUGUGCUCUUGCUGAGAUCAUGUAUGCUUGCAUUAUAUUGCAUAACAUGAUCGUUGCAGAUGAGAGGCACACCUACAAGUGCUAUGACAAAUAUGACUGUGACUAUGAAUUGCUACAAGGCGCCCAAAUACCAUAUCUUGAAACUGAACAAGGACCAUUUGAUGGGUUUGAUCUGGUUCUUGAGACAGAUGCUGCCAUUCGGGAUCGAUCCACACAUCGUCGUCUCAAGGCUGACUUGGUUGAGAAUAUUUGGCAAAAGUUUGGAGGAAAUGGACAUUAG